Molecule: long non-coding RNA, 1170 nt
Organism: Coregonus clupeaformis (lake whitefish)
Lineage: Eukaryota; Metazoa; Chordata; Actinopteri; Salmoniformes; Salmonidae
Exons: 2
Source: RefSeq, a predicted model, not a curated record
ACCGGUUCUUUCCAAAGAGAACUGGCAGACCGCUCAGGAAUAAGCCAGUCGUGUUUGAGCCGUGCAAUGCCACCUGUAUGGGACGGCAUCAUCCGCUUGUCUACCAGGUAUAUAACGUUCCCAUACGAUGCAGGUGACCAGCCAAACAUCAAAGCGCAAUUUGCAGCGAUAGCCGGUUUUCCUAAUGUAAUCGGAGCGAUCGACUGCACACAUAUUGCUAUAAAGGCGCCAUCUGAAGACGAAUUUGCAUAUGUGAAUCGGAAACAUUUCCAUUCAAUAAAUGUGCAGAUUAUAUGUGAUGCACAAAUGCGCCUAACAAAUAUUGUGGCAAGGUGGCCUGGGUCAACCCAUGAUUCAUAUAUCCUUACAAACAGCAUGGUUGGGAUGAGACUCCAAGCUGGCAGGGUGCGCGAUGGGUGGCUACUUGGAGACAGUGGUUAUCCACUAAAGACGUGGCUGUUAACCCCCUCACCAACCCACAAACUGACCGAGAGCGCAGAUACAAUGAUGCCCAUUCCCGCACUCGGUCAGUUGUGGAGCGGGCGAUUGGGCAGCUGAAAUGUCGGUGGCGCUGCCUUGACAGGACCGGGGGGAUGCUGUUAUACCGCCCUGACAAGGUUUGCCGCAUCAUACUGGCCUGUGGAGUGCUGCACAAUGUCGCGCACAGGCAUGGCAUACCCCUUGGUGAGGUGGGGGCACCGCCAGAUGACCCUGACCCAGGACCAGUAUAUGUGCAGCACAAUCAACAAGCCAUUCAGGCCCGUCAACGUGUAAUUGCGACAAUAUAAAUGGUACUCAGACACAAAGUUCAUUUUUUGACCAAUUCUUUUAAUGAAUGGCUUAUUUCUGUGAGUGCGUCAGUGACAUUUUUAAGGUGACUGUUCAUUUCUUCAAUGGCCCUAACAAUUUGUUGUUGUGACUCCAGAACAGCAUGCGUCAAGACACGGCCAGAUGGACGGGCUUCAGCACUGGGGGGAACAUUAGAGACACGGGAGACGCUGGACUGAAUGGGCUCUGGCUGCUCAGGUGGUGCGGACACUGAGUGCGUGCCAGUGGACGUUCCUGCGGUUCCUAAGUCCAAUUAAACACAGGCACAUCUUAACAGUAAUUUGAGUCUGUUCCUUAUUAAUGGGUACACGCAUUUGCAAUAAAAGCAGUGGAUACGUGAAA